This 2149-nucleotide small RNA is filed under the name Pan troglodytes (chimpanzee). Its description in RNAcentral is "retained intron". Lineage: Eukaryota; Metazoa; Chordata; Mammalia; Primates; Hominidae. The record is from RNAcentral.
GCGGUGGUGGCUGCGGCGGCGGCGGCGGCGGGAGCAGCAUGGAUUGGGGCACUGAGCUGUGGGAUCAGUUCGAGGUGCUCGAGCGCCACACGCAGUGGGGGCUGGACCUGUUGGACAGAUAUGUAAAGUUCGUGAAAGAACGCACCGAAGUGGAACAGGCUUACGCCAAACAACUGCGGAGCCUGGUGAAAAAAUAUCUGCCCAAGAGACCUGCCAAGGAUGAUCCUGAGUCCAAAUUCAGCCAGCAACAGUCCUUCGUACAGAUUCUCCAGGAGGUGAAUGACUUUGCAGGCCAGCGGGAGCUGGUGGCUGAGAACCUCAGUGUCCGUGUAUGUCUUGAGCUGACCAAGUACUCACAAGAGAUGAAACAGGAGAGGAAGAUGGUGAGGAGCCCCCCGAUUCAGGUUUUACAAAGGGCUUCUGCUGGAACCCUGGCGAGCCUUAUCACUCUUCUUUCUGUAGCACUUCCAAGAAGGGCGGCGGGCCCAGCAGCAGCUGGAAAAUGGCUUUAAACAGCUGGAGAAUAGUAAGCGUAAAUUUGAGCGGGACUGCCGGGAGGCAGAGAAGGCAGCCCAGACUGCUGAACGGCUAGACCAGGAUAUCAACGCCACCAAGGCUGAUGUGGAGAAGGCCAAGCAGCAAGCCCACCUUCGGAGUCAUAUGGCCGAAGAAAGCAAAAACGAAUAUGCAGCUCAACUCCAGCGCUUCAACCGAGACCAAGCCCACUUCUAUUUUUCACAGAUGCCCCAGAUAUUCGAUAAGCUCCAAGACAUGGAUGAACGCAGGGCCACCCGCCUGGGUGCCGGGUAUGGGCUCCUGUCGGAGGCCGAGCUGGAGGUGGUGCCCAUCAUAGCCAAGUGCUUGGAGGGCAUGAAGGUGGCUGCAAAUGCUGUGGAUCCCAAGAACGACUCCCACGUCCUUAUAGAGCUGCACAAGUCAGGUUUUGCCCGCCCGGGCGACGUGGAAUUCGAGGACUUCAGCCAGCCCAUGAACCGUGCACCCUCCGACAGCAGUCUGGGCACCCCCUCGGAUGGACGGCCUGAACUCCGAGGCCCGGGCCGCAGCCGCACCAAGCGCUGGCCUUUUGGCAAGAAGAACAAGACAGUGGUGACCGAGGAUUUUAGCCACCUGCCCCCAGAGCAGCAGCGAAAACGGCUUCAACAGCAGUUGGAAGAACGCAGUCGUGAACUUCAGAAGGAGGUUGACCAGAGGGAAGCCCUAAAGAAAAUGAAGGAUGUCUAUGAGAAGACACCUCAGAUGGGGGACCCCGCCAGCUUGGAGCCCCAGAUCGCUGAAACCCUGAGCAACAUUGAACGGCUGAAAUUGGAAGUGCAGAAGUAUGAGGCGUGGCUGGCAGAAGCUGAAAGUCGAGUCCUUAGCAACCGGGGAGACAGCCUGAGCCGGCACGCCCGGCCUCCCGACCCCCCCGCUAGCGCCCCGCCAGACAGCAGCAGCAACAGCGCAUCACAGGACACCAAGGAGAGGUGAGGGGUGACGUCAGAGUGGGUCUGUUCCCAGGGUCCCAGGAGGGCCUGUCUUUAUCUGCCGAAUUAUCCCCAAACAGCUCUGAAGAGCCUCCCUCAGAAGAGAGCCAGGACACCCCCAUUUACACGGAGUUUGAGGAGGAUUUCGAGGAGGAACCCACAUCCCCCAUAGGUCACUGUGUGGCCAUCUACCACUUUGAAGGGUCCAGCGAGGGCACUAUCUCUAUGGCCGAGGGUGAAGACCUCAGUCUUAUGGAAGAAGACAAAGGGGACGGCUGGACCCGGGUCAGGCGGAAAGAGGGAGGCGAGGGCUACGUGCCCACCUCCUACCUCCGAGUCACGCUCAAUUGAACCCUGCCAGAGACGGGAAGAGGGGGGCUGUCGGCUGCUGCUUCUGGGCCACGGGGGGCCCCAGGACCUAUGCACUUUAUUUCUGACCCCGUGGCUUCGGCUGAGACCUGUGUAACCUGCUGCCCCCUCCACCCCCAACCCAAUCCUACCUGUCACACCGGACAGACCCGCUGUGCCUUCUACCAUCGUUCCACCAUUGAUGUACAUACUCAUGUUUUACAUCUUUUCUUUCUGCCGCUCGGCUCCGGCCAUUUUGUUUUAUACAAAAAUGGAAAAAAAAAAAAGAAAUUAUAUAAAGUUCCUAGAGUCGGUGU